GAUGAACGCUGGCGGCGUGCCUAAUACAUGCAAGUCGAGCGAACGGACGAGAAGCUUGCUUCUCUGAUGUUAGCGGCGGACGGGUGAAUAACACGUGGAUAACCUACCUAUAAGACUGGGAUAACUUCGGGAAACCGUAGCUAAUACCGGAUAAUAUUUUGAACCGCAUGGUUCAAAAGUGAAAGACGGUCUUGCUGUCACUUAUAGAUGGAUCCGCGCUGCAUUAGCUAGUUGGUAAGGUAACGGCUUACCAAGGCAACGAUGCAUAGCCGACCUGAGAGGGUGAUCGGCCACACUGGAACUGAGACACGGUCCAGACUCCUACGGGAGGCAGCAGUAGGGAAUCUUCCGCAAUGGGCGAAAGCCUGACGGAGCAACGCCGCGUGAGUGAUGAAGGUCUUCGGAUCGUAAAACUCUGUUAUUAGGGAAGAACAUAUGUGUAAGUAACUGUGCACAUCUUGACGGUACCUAAUCAGAAAGCCACGGCUAACUACGUG
Molecule: ribosomal RNA, 497 nt
Filed under: uncultured bacterium
Lineage: Bacteria
Description: partial 16S ribosomal RNA
Rfam family: Bacterial small subunit ribosomal RNA
Source: RNAcentral